This 492-nucleotide ribosomal RNA is filed under the name uncultured bacterium. RNAcentral's name for it is "partial 16S ribosomal RNA". It matches the Rfam family "Bacterial small subunit ribosomal RNA", at positions 29 to 507 of the family's 1533-position model. The record is from RNAcentral.
AGUGAACGCUGGCGGUAGGCCUAACACAUGCAAGUCGAACGGCAGCACAGUAAGAGCUUGCUCUUACGGGUGGCGAGUGGCGGACGGGUGAGGAAUACAUCGGAAUCUACUUUUUCGUGGGGGAUAACGUAGGGAAACUUACGCUAAUACCGCAUACGACCUACGGGUGAAAGCAGGGGAUCUUCGGACCUUGCGCGAUUGAAUGAGCCGAUGUCGGAUUAGCUAGUUGGCGGGGUAAAGGCCCACCAAGGCGACGAUCCGUAGCUGGUCUGAGAGGAUGAUCAGCCACACUGGCACUGAGACACGGUCCAGACUCCUACGGGAGGCAGCAGUGGGGAAUAUUGGACAAUGGGCGCGAGCCUGAUCCAGCCAUACCGCGUGGGUGAAGAAGGCCUUCGGGUUGUAAAGCCCUUUUGUUGGGAAAGAAAAGCAGCAGGUUAAUACCCCGCUGUUCUGACGGUACCCAAAGAAUAAGCACCGGCUAACUUCGUG